Molecule: long non-coding RNA, 1322 nt
Filed under: Populus tremula
Lineage: Eukaryota; Viridiplantae; Streptophyta; Magnoliopsida; Malpighiales; Salicaceae
Description: long non-coding RNA (PTRE_LNC002457)
Source: RNAcentral
CUGUUUGUUGCGGUUUCUCUGUCUCGUAGCCAAUUGUCUAUAUCGGUUGGUUGUUUUAUGGAAAUCAGUCUCCAUGGGUCUCUUCCUGCUGGGAUGUUCUUCAUCCUGCAGCGUCUUGAUGCUUUAUAUAGCUUGAUCUGCCAUUGGUGGGCUGUGUUUCAUACUUAUUGAAGCUAGCUGGAAUUACCAUUCGUGUGCUGAAUCUACUGCAUCUUGUGGGUUCAAGCUGCUUGUCCAGUCUUCUCUUACAGGUUGCUGGAGUUGUGUUUCUGGCAAGUCCUUUCCAACGUGGAUGGUUUCGGCCUUGCUUCAUGGUUCUAUUUAGUUGCUGCGUUUGCAGAUUUGGAUGUGCUACUCCACCUUUCUGGAGUUGCUCAAUUUUGGUUUGCUAAAGUUGGAUCUCUAGCCUGUUAUUUCUCUUCCCCUGCAUGUUGCUGGAUAUGCAGGUUGUUGCUGCCGUUUGCAUACUAGUGAGAAGUUAGCUGAUGCGUGGCUAUGGUUUAAUGGUCUUCACUGUGGGUGGAGGCUCUCUUGAUGCUGCUAUAUGUAGCUGGUUAUGCUGCUCUUCUUGAAGCUGGCUGGAUAUCACUUGGAUAUUCUGCUUGUUGUUGGGAGUGCAGGUUGUAGGCGUUGUUGCUUGCUUUGCUGCUAUGCACCCUGUUUCAUUUGUAUUGGAUUUUGGGUACCCCGCUGUCGUAGCUUUGCUCUUUGUGCUGGCUGCUAGGUUGUAGGCAUUGUUAGCCUACUUGAAUGGUCUUCACUGCGGGUGGAGGCUCUCCUGUUGCUGCUAUGUGCAGCUGGAUAUGCUGCUCUUCUUGAAGCUGGCUGGAUAUCAAUUGGAUAUAUUGCUUGCUGUUGAAAGUGCAGGUUGUUGGCGUUGUUAGCCUGCUUGGAUGAUAUGCGCCCUGUUGCGUCUUUGCUGGAUUUUGGAUGCAGGCUUAGCCUUUUUUGAGUAUGUUCUUCUGGGUUGCAACAGAAGAGCCUGUACUGCUGCACUGUGCAGCUUUGUCAACUUUACGAUCCGAUUGUGGGAUGAUUCUUGCUGCUGGUUUGUUAGGAUUGCUGGAGCUGAGGAUUGCUCCUGCUACUCCGACUGCUAAUCCUAUCUGUAAAAGGGAGUCUGUUCCCUUGAUCUGAUUUUUGGGUGAUUGUCCUGGGGAGCCUGUUCCCCUGCCUCACCUCUUUGUUAUGUAAGUUCUGUAUUGCUGGCCUCCAGCUUAUGUUUUCUGUAAUUAUUCUGUACUUUGCUGGUUUCCAGCUUGUAUUCCAAGCUUGUCUUGCUUCUUUUUUUAUCUAUAUACUUCUUACAUUUGAUAAAAAAA